UACGGAGGGGGCAAGCGUUGUUCGGAAUUACUGGGCGUAAAGGGCUCGUAGGCGGCCAACUAAGUCAGACGUGAAAUCCCUCGGCUUAACCGGGGAACUGCGUCUGAUACUGGAUGGCUAGAGGUUGGGAGAGGGAUGCGGAAUUCCAGGUGUAGCGGUGAAAUGCGUAGAUAUCUGGAGGAACACCGGUGGCGAAGGCGGCAUCCUGGACCAAUUCUGACGCUGAGGAGCGAAAGCCAGGGGAGCAAACGGG
This 253-nucleotide ribosomal RNA is filed under the name uncultured bacterium. RNAcentral's name for it is "partial 16S ribosomal RNA". It matches the Rfam family "Bacterial small subunit ribosomal RNA", at positions 524 to 776 of the family's 1533-position model. The record is from RNAcentral.